This 433-nucleotide ribosomal RNA is filed under the name uncultured bacterium. RNAcentral's name for it is "bacterial SSU rRNA". It matches the Rfam family "Bacterial small subunit ribosomal RNA", at positions 355 to 786 of the family's 1533-position model. The record is from RNAcentral.
UGAGGAAUAUUGGUCAAUGGACGAGAGUCUGAACCAGCCAAGUAGCGUGAAGGAUGACUGCCCUAUGGGUUGUAAACUUCUUUUAUAUGGGAAUAAAGUUCAGUAUGUAUACUGUUUUGUAUGUACCAUAUGAAUAAGGACCGGCUAACUCCGUGCCAGCAGCCGCGGUAAUACGGAGGAUCCGAGCGUUAUCCGGAUUUAUUGGGUUUAAAGGGAGCGUAGGCGGGGCUGAGUCAGUUGUGAAAGUUUGCGGCUCAACCGUAAAAUUGCAGUUGAUACUGGGUCCCUUGAGUGCGGCAGAGGCAGGCGGAAUUCGUGGUGUAGCGGUGAAAUGCUUAGAUAUCACGAAGAACUCCGAUUGCGAAGGCAGCCUGCUGGACUGUAACUGACGCUGAUGCUCGAAAGUGUGGGGUAUCAAACAGGAUUAGAUACC